This is a non-coding RNA of Peromyscus maniculatus bairdii (prairie deer mouse), 2100 nucleotides long. The record is from RefSeq and is a predicted model, not a curated record. NCBI's taxonomy places the organism in Eukaryota, Metazoa, Chordata, Mammalia, Rodentia, Cricetidae.
GCCACGUCAUCCGGCCACCCCGGCACACGCCGGAAGUCCUCCCGACGCGGGGCCGCAACCGCCGCCGGCGCGCGCAGGCCGUGGGGCUGAAGGGUUCCGGAACCGGUGUGCCGCCGAUCGCUCUGCUUCAGCCUCGGCCUGAGCCCUCGCGCUGUCAAGCCGAAGCCUCCGGGGCCGGAACCUUGGCUUCCUAGCUUGCCGGGACUGCGAAGUGGGGCGGGGCGGGUCAUCUCACCGAGGGCCCCCGAGGCUCAACGCGAACCCCCCUUUCCAUUUAGCCCAGAGAAGGAGCUCCCAAGCUUCUUUAUGGAAGAUGAUCAUUAAACUUGUCCAGGGUGUGUUGGGUGUUUUAACAUCACCGAGUGCUGAUGGAACUUAUGUUCAAUCAAGAGAUGUGGGCUGAGUUGACGUUCUUGUUCGUUUGUUGGCCUACGUAUUGUUUUUCUCCCAUCAUCCUCAGUCAUAAAUGUGUCCUGGAAUGGAAGCGCCUCAGAGCACCAAUCACUUACUUGUUCUUAUUUUCUGUAGCUAAACCGGUAGUAAGGAGCUGGGUUUGGUAUCUCACUCUUGUAACCUCAGCACUCAGGAAGCUGGACGGAUUGUUGCAUAGUCAGUGAUUGCUUGGGUUACAGUGUGAGACAAAACAAGAAAACAAAACAAAACAAAACAAAAAAGUCAAGCAGGUCAUGGUGGUGCAGGCCUGUGAUCCCAGCACUUGAGGGACAGAGGCAGAAUUAAUGAAAAACUGGAACCAACCUUGUCUACAGACCCAGCCCAGACCAGCCAGGCUACAUAGCAAGGCCCCCAUCUCAAACCAAAACAUAUCAAGGACUCAGGAAAAACUGUCAAAUGAACAGAACCGUCCUCUAAAUGUGGGACUUUGGAGGGAGAUUGUCUCACCCAUCAGUACUGGGUAGAGCCUAGCAUUUGGUCAUGUAAUAUCUCAACAGCCAAUAUUCCAUACCACCAUACUGUGCAGAAGUCUAAACAAGAUCUAACAAUCUUCCUUCCCUGUUCAUUCCCACAGAGUGCCAGAGUAAUUGCCUACAAAGAAAUCAGAUUACAUGACUUUGUCCAAAACUCACCCUGAAUAGUGAAUAAGCUAGCUGAGUCGCCCAUCUUCAGUGAGAAUUUGCAUCAUGCUCUUGGACAAUUAAGCACCCCUUCUUUGGGAUUCCCAUAGCAUUUGAGCACCUAACACGGUGACUGGCUCAUAGUGGAGGCUCGGCAAAGGCUCCAUGAAUGAAUAAUCACUGCCUUUGAAUGAAGCGAUGAUGGGCAAUUGAAGAGCAAGCAGCAGGAGUGCCGCAUUGAGAUGGAUGAGUAGUUUCUUAAACAUCCAUCAUCACCAGCCUUUUAGCCUCCGAGAUUUGAGGCAUAAGCUUUUGCUGGGUUUUGUGGGGAACACUAGGCUGGCAAAUGCUUGGAGGUGGAAAGAACACAAGUAAAAUUAGGAAGUAUUUGGGGAGUGUAAAUCUAAAAUUAGGAACUCUUAUGUUAAAGAAUAGGCAGGGCAUUUUUUUUUUUUUUUAAUGCACAAUGCAAUCCAGGCAGUGGUGGCACACACCUUUAAUCCCAGCACUUUGGAAGCAGAAGGAGGCGAAUCUCUUUUGAGUUCGAGGCCAGCCUAGUUUACAAAGCAAGUUCCAGUACAGCCAGGCUGUUACACAGAGAAACUUUGUCUCGAAAACCCGAAAAACAAAAUGCACAAUGUGAUUGCUCAUAUAAGUGCUCCCAAAGUGGUAACGGGAAUCAGAAGUAAAAGAAGGAGACACCUCAUCUCUGUGGAGAAUUUGGGGAAAUUUUGUGGCGGAAAAAACAGAUGAGGUCACCAGUUCAAUAACUCUAUUGAGCAUUUACUGUGUGCCAAGAACUCUGGUGUGUGUCAUCAGUCAAUAAAACUGUGGUAAUGACAGGUGCAGGAGGAAGGAUUAGGAGAUAAAAGAACUGAUUAGAGAAAAACAAGUGUGGCUUCCAAGUUCCUUGAAAUCUGAUAAACUCAAGACUGAACCAGAAGAGCUCAGGAACACCAUCAAAAUUAGUUUGGGGGCUAGGAUGUAGUAGAGCGCUGACCUAGUGUGCAGAAAACUCUGGGUUUCA